GACCUAUCGAUGGCCGACCAGCACUAGCAGCGCCGAACAUAUGUUUCAAGUCUCUCUCAACUUUCGAACGGAGCGGAACGUCGAGCGCACGAAAUCGGAAUUAUCUCGUUGGAACAAACGUCGCCGCGUGUGAUCGAAAAUCCAAGUUAAGCACAUUCGUAGGGAAGCUGCGAGGCAAUCAAACGCCAACCGACGACCAAUAUCCGCCCGCCACCCUCUUAGCCACGCCCCGCGGCCCGUGUGAUAACAAAGAUAAUGCAAUAAAGGGCAACCGUUGGAAAAAUCUGUGAGAGAGCCAAGAAACGUGACCCAGGCAAAAUUUUGUUUGUUUGUCUGGCUCUGCAUAUACAUAUACAUAGUUUAAACGUGCGUGAGAUUGUGUAUGCGCGUGUGUGUGAGCAGCCGUCGCGUUAGUAGUAGUAACACGCUAAACAACAAAAAAUUCAUCUCGCGUUAUUUACAAUUAUAAUUAAACAAAAUUACAAAAUUGUUUCCAUCUCCCUCGCUAGUUCACUCUCUCUCACACACACACGCACGAAUAUUACCCCCGGCGCGUUUUUCUUCCAUCUCGCUCCCACAAAGGCGGAAGAAAAGAAAUUAUAAACGAAAAACUGCCACCGCCGCUGCUCAAUAAUUUGUGCAUUUUUAAGUUUCAUUACAAUGUCCUCAAAUCUAAUUUAAAUAAGUAAGAAGUGCAAUAAGCGACACGCAGCGAAACAAAUAGCGCUGAACAGAGAAGCACGCCAGGCCAAACAGCAACAAAUGGCCAACAAUUGAAUGGCGGCCAUCAGUUGGCCCCAGCGGCAUCCAUUGAGCAAUCAACACCAUUUCUCCCACAUCAAAUCAAGCACCACUUCCAGCAGCACCAUCACCACCGCCACCUCAGCCACCUCAGUCACCACCGCCGUCACAGCUUUGGGAACCAGAACCACAGUCCAAGACCCAGUCGAAACCACCACCACCACCAGUAAAAGCCACAGCCUAGCAGAACCACAACCACUGAGCUCCAUCGGCAACAAAUACCAGAACCGGGUGCAGCUGCUCGAAUUAUUUGGAAAACUUGCCGCGUAGUCCAUCAAUGAGCGUUUCGAUGUCACUGGUACAGGGUGGUGCUGCCGGUGGUGCGCCACAGGGCGCCAGCGCAAUCUUGGCCGCAGCGGCUCCCUACUAUCAACCGCCGGCUGUUCCCCAGGAUGUCCAGCCGGAUCGUCCCAUCGGCUAUGGAGCAUUCGGAGUUGUCUGGGCUGUCACAGAUCCUCGCGAUGGACGACGAGUGGCCUUGAAGAAGCUGCCAAAUGUGUUCCAAUCGUUGGUCUCAUCGAAGCGCGUUUUCCGCGAGCUGAAAAUGCUGUGCUUCUUCAAGCAUGAAAAUGUUCUUUCAGCUCUGGACAUUCUACAGCCACCGCAUUUGGAUUUCUUUCAAGAAAUCUAUGUGAUAACGGAGCUGCUGCAAUCGGAUCUGCACAAGAUAAUCGUGUCGCCGCAGCACCUGUCCGCCGACCACAUCAAGGUGUUCCUGUACCAGAUCCUGCGCGGCCUCAAGUAUCUGCACUCGGCCCGCAUCCUGCAUCGCGACAUCAAGCCUGGCAAUCUGCUGGUCAACUCGAAUUGCGUGCUCAAGAUCUGUGACUUUGGAUUGGCCCGCGUCGAGGAGCCCGAUCAGGCCAAGCACAUGACCCAGGAGGUGGUCACCCAGUACUAUCGCGCACCGGAAAUUCUGAUGGGCGCUCGCCACUACUCGUCGGCGGUGGAUGUGUGGUCGGUGGGCUGCAUUUUUGGCGAGCUGCUGGGCCGUCGCAUCCUCUUCCAGGCACAGAAUCCUGUGCAGCAGCUGGAGCUGAUUACCGAGCUGCUGGGCACGCCCACCAUGGAGGAUAUGCGUCACGCCUGCGAAGGCGCCCGCACCCACAUGUUGCGCCGGGCGCCCAAGCCGCCAUCCUUCUCGGUGCUCUACACACUCAGCUCGCAUGCCACGCACGAGGCGGUGCACCUGCUCUGCCAGAUGCUCGUCUUCGAUCCGGACAAGCGUAUCUCCGUGACAGAUGCCCUGGCGCAUCCGUAUCUGGAUGAGGGGCGUCUGCGCUACCACUCGUGCAUGUGCAAAUGCUGCUUCACUACCUCAGCCGGAAUGCGUCAGUAUACGGCUGAUUUUGAGCCCUCCGCCGGCCAGCCCUUCGAUGAUCUGUGGGAACGCAAGCUGACAUCCGUGCAGCAGGUCAAAGAGGAGAUGCACAAGUUCAUUGCCGAGCAGCUGCAAACGGGUCGUGUGCCGCUGUGCAUCAAUCCACAGAGUGCAGCCUUCAAGAGUUUCGCCAGCCAAUGAGAAUGAGAAAAUCUACUACUACUACCACUACCACUACUACCACUACAACUUGCACUGCUGCUCCUGCCGCUGCUCCAAUCCGCCGCCGCCUACUGCUGCGCUGUCCUCGAGAACCGAUCCAGGUCCAGAUCGAGAUACUAGGCGCGCGAUCUCCUCUCACUAGAACGACUCGAUAUAGACACGCAGAAGUCGCCAGAUACUAAACGCAAUCUGCCGAUUGAUUGAUGAAUGAAAAUGAUAAUGAAAACGAAAGCGAAAUCGAAAUCGAAAACGAAAGCACAGCCAAGAUAAAGAUACAAUAAUACAGAUACAGAAAAUGAGGCCUCGGGGCGGCAACUGUCUCUCUACUCCUUCUUAGUUCGACUGUGGCACAUCCUUCGGAGCUGCCGCCCUCGCCUCACCAAUGGGAAUGACGGCAAAAUGAGGCGAUUGCUGCCUAAAAUCGAAACAAAAGCAACACAGCCAAACGAUAGACACUUGCCGCCGAGAACAAGGAGGAGAGGAGUCGAUUCGCAGUCCAAAAAUCCCUAGAAAACCAUCCCCAUCCAACCAAACCCAGAGAUGAUAACUCAGCCAGGAACAACUAUUGAAUAAUUUUUAAGCGCCAAACGGCUUUUAAGUGGGCGUUUGUCUGUUUGAAAGUCAAAGCAUUCCACCACCGAAAUUAACUAAAACAAAACAAACAAAUAUGUAACGUAACUCAACGGAAACUAGUCUAAACAACAAAACUGUAGUUAAAGCAGCAACGGUAUCGACGCAAACCAGCAAGUUUAAAGAAAACGAAAAUAUUAAAAAAAAAGAAAUUAACGAGAGAGAGGGGGAGCAGCAGCAGAAAAACCUACGCACUAAACACAAAGCGUAUUUAACAAAUAACUAUAAUUUUUUGGCAACAAAGCAGACAUUUUGUUGUGCUUGACAUGAAUUGGAAACGAAAAUUCAAUUAAAAUAAACAACAACCGAAAAUCGUUUUAUGUUAAGCUCCUAUUAAAACUAUGUAUAUGUAAAUUAAUUAGCAACACACACAGACAUCGUAUUCAUUAUAUACAAGUAUGCUUAAAUCUUAAAUAUAUCGAUAUAUAUAUUUAAAGUAAAAUAGUAACAAAAUGCACACAAAUCCAAAAUUUGUUUGCCAAAAUUUACCUCAAGCGUUAGUCCUUUUCGUCCGCAAAAAGGAUCAAUUCACUUUCUGUUAGCUUACGACAAAAACAUUUAAUAAUGCAAUGUGUAGCUACAGUUAAAUGUGUACUAAACGCUAAAAGAAAAACAAAUUCUUUUGAAAUUAUGCAACUAUUUUUAUUUACACAAACGUUUGAAGCUUCAAUUUUGAAACUGGUUUCUAGAAAUAUACUCUAAAUGUAGCUGGCCACAAAAAAAUGGUCAGCCCUAACUCAUUAGGAAAAAGGAAAAAUAUUCGAUGAAAUAAGUUCAAAGUUUCAACUGUCGACUGAACAAAAAUACAAUAUAAAUUAAUAUAUAAAUAUAAAUUAAACAAUUUCAACAUAAUUUAGUUACGACAAUUUUCGCUUUGAUAAUAGUUUGUUAGGCUUUUUAAUCAUUAGUUUUAUAAAUGUAAACUAUACAAUAAACAAACCAACAAAUGAAAAACCAACAAGUGGACGACGCACUGCCCCCAGUGAAUGAUUCGAGCGGAUCGAUGGAUGGAAAGGAGGGAGUGAUCCCAUUUCUCCUUGGAGUCUCAAGGCGCCGCCCGAAUCAAUUCGAUUUUAGUUAUGUUUAAUUUGCUCUUAGUUGAUUACCAUGUAAUAUAGUUUAAUUUUCGACUAACUACACCUCUGUCUCUCUCAAUGCUCAUCGCUAUAGACUAUAGCUAAGGUGCAGGACAGGAUCGGUUAUAGAGGAUCAAUUGCUAAGGCCUCGGCUGCCCAGAACAUUAAAUAUGUUUAAGACUGAGUUUUCUCAUUUGACGAUGACGAUUGAUUGAUUAAGGAUAUGCAAUAUAUAAUUCGCACUUCAUUUAUUUGAAACGACAAAAUUUUGAUGUAGACUAAGCACUUAAACGAAAUUAAAAAAAAAAACGUAUACCGUGUAUGUGUAUUUGAAUGUCUUUUGUCUUCAAUGUUUAGAGCAAAACAAAUGCAUGAAUAUUUAAUCGAAAAACGAUGAUGGAGUAGAAGAAACUCUUGAAGAAAUUUAAACUGAAGCUAAACUUAAACUUUUCUCUUCUUCGAUUCUCUUAACUGUGCUGCUUUCUUAUGUAUGUAGUUAUUAAUUAUAGCAUUAUAUAUAUUGUCCAAUAUAUAUAGAUGGAUGGAUUAGCGUAAAAACAAACAAACAAAAACAAAACAAAAACCAAUAUGAAUUCAAAACUUUCACGGAGAUCUCAUAGCAAAAACAAAACGAAAUGAAAGAAAAGAAAAGCAUAAAGGCACCGAAAUGCCAAGGCAUUGUGCAGCAGAGUAGAGUUUCUUUUCAACUUUUGUUUAUAACUAAAGUUUUUCUUAACCGUAAACAUAUAGAGUACAGAUUGUUUUCCCCUCAUUUGACCAGAGACAAACGCUCGAAUUAAAUUGACAUCAGCAUCGACAUCAAAAUCAUUUACAUCUCUAAGCACAUACUCCCCGUAGUGGUACAUAUACAAUACGACUACGCAUACGGAUAGUUAGUUUUCGUUCGGUUUAGACACCGUGUACAUAGCAUUAUCUCCACACCCCCACCAAUAAUUAGCCCACAUCUCUCUCCUUAGCUCAGUAAGACGGUUAGCUAUUAUGAGGUAAUACGAGUACGAUAAGUAAUGGACAUGUACAUUAUACUACACGAAUAGCACAACCCCGAUUGGAGCAGGUCUGAACUAAAACAUAAUGUAAUUCACACAAGAUAUCGGCCCAUAUGGGCUGUAUGAUUUGAGGGCGACUGUGUAGCGCCUGUUUGAAAUGAGUUCAUAAGUUAAGAUCAACUGUAAUUGUAAACUGCAUUAGUAUUUGACUUGUAAACCGAUUUUAAGGAUCAUUCUUAAUUAUAUAUACUAGAUACGAAUUACGCAUUAAUUUACGUUAAAUGAGGAUAAUACGAAAAAUUGUGUAAACUGUUUGUAUAAAAAAUAAGAACAAAACAAAAAAAGAAGAAAACGAAUCCAUUUUGUUUUAUUUUUCGCAUUACCUAAAGUGGAUCCAACCCAACCCAAUGCAUUUGCUAAUUAGAAUUUAUAGCCAUGUAACACUGCAAGCCAGACAACUAGCACCCACUAUAUACGAUAUGUGUAUGUAUAUUUAUGGACAAUAUUUGAGAUUAAAACACACACCACACCAACAAUUCUUCAAGUUUGUAUUAGAAUACAGGUACAAAGACAGCAUUCCAUUGAAAGCGGAUACCUAAGGAAGCCACGUAUAUUAUAAACUUUGAAUAUGAACCAAAUAUGAUGAUGAUGAGACUCUCGGAGGAGAGAAGUCUUUUGAAACCAGAAUUGGUCAAGAUUGGUAGAAUAAAACAUAAAAAUGAUUGCGCUCAGGUUAUUAAAUGUAAAAAUUACAAAAUACUCCUAUAUACAUAUAUGAAAUAAUCCCAAAUUCGCAUAGCAUAUAAAUAACCACAUAUAUGUACGUUUAACAUGUUUAACAAAAGGCUGUUUGUAGAAAUUGUGACACAGUUUUUUUAACCCGAACCCACAUCUAACCGACGAUUAACCAACUCGAUGUGUAAAUGCAAAAAGGAUAAUUGAGCAUCUUCGACUCCACAGUGAAUGUAGUUCUAGUUGCUUACACUAACCAGACAGAAGCUGGCUGCUUUGUGCACUCCGAGAUAUUAUGUAAAUACUAAAGAAAAUGAUAAAUAUAGUAAUCGUCGUACAUAAAUUUAGAGAAAACUUUGUGAUUGCUUCUCAUUGAUGAUGAUGACAUAACUGUUUCGUAGGACAACCUUAAGGCAGAUAUUUUUUCUUAUAAGCAGCAUGUAAAAACACUCGAUAC
Drosophila simulans is the source of this 6246-nucleotide RNA transcript. It is a transcript of the gene named serine/threonine-protein kinase NLK, with no coding region annotated. Lineage: Eukaryota; Metazoa; Arthropoda; Insecta; Diptera; Drosophilidae. The record is from RefSeq and is a predicted model, not a curated record. The transcript has 9 exons.